RNAcentral lists this long non-coding RNA (318 nucleotides) under dengue virus type 1. RNAcentral describes it as "Dengue virus 1 partial sfRNA1". The stretch from base 233 to 304 matches the Rfam family "Flavivirus DB element". The record is from RNAcentral. Lineage: Riboviria; Orthornavirae; Kitrinoviricota; Flasuviricetes; Amarillovirales; Flaviviridae.
AAGAAGUCAGGCCGAUCUAAGCCAUAGCACGGUAAGAGCUAUGCUGCCUGUGAGCCCCGUCCAAGGACGUAAAAAGAAGUCAGGCCGAAAGCCACGGCUUGAGCAAACCGUGCUGCCUGUAGCUCCAUCGUGGGGAUGUAAAAACCCGGGAGGCUGCAACCCAUGGAAGCUGUACGCAUGGGGUAGCAGACUAGUGGUUAGAGGAGACCCCUCCCAAGAUACAACGCAGCAGCGGGGCCCAACACCAGGGGAAGCUGUACCCUGGUGGUAAGGACUAGAGGUUAGAGGAGACCCCCCGCACAACAACAAACAGCAUAU